GUAGCUCAAUGGUAGAGCACUUGCCUCACAUGCACAAGGCCCUGGGUUCAAUCCCCAGC
RNAcentral lists this transfer RNA (59 nucleotides) under Ictidomys tridecemlineatus (thirteen-lined ground squirrel). Its description in RNAcentral is "Spermophilus tridecemlineatus (thirteen-lined ground squirrel) tRNA". It matches the Rfam family "tRNA", at positions 7 to 64 of the family's 71-position model. From Rfam's summary of the family: Transfer RNA (tRNA) molecules are approximately 80 nucleotides in length. Lineage: Eukaryota; Metazoa; Chordata; Mammalia; Rodentia; Sciuridae. The record is from Rfam by way of RNAcentral.